RNAcentral lists this long non-coding RNA (786 nucleotides) under Malus domestica (apple). RNAcentral describes it as "long non-coding RNA (MDOM_LNC014569)". The record is from RNAcentral. Lineage: Eukaryota; Viridiplantae; Streptophyta; Magnoliopsida; Rosales; Rosaceae.
GUCAACCAUCUCCCUCCUCUCUCUCUUUUUCUCCCCCAUUUCUCCCAAUUGCUUCCUCAAAGGAGGAUCUGUGUAUUAAAAAGGAGGAUCUGUGCAUUUUCUUCCUCAAAAGGAGGCAUUUUUUCUUGUUCCUCAAAGCAGAGAGAGCAUUGCAAAUUGGAAAUCACAUAUCAAAUUUCUACUAUAAUUUAUGUUUUACAACUCCAAAUUUGAUUUCGUUUAUUCCUACAAAUUUCUGGAGUAGUGCACUGCAACCCAAGGUAAAAGAUUUAUGGGUUUAUCACAGAUUUUGAUAUUUUCUGUAAUUGGAUUUAUAAGCUUUAAUCUUUGAAUUGAAUUGUUGUUUAUGGUGGAUUAAACUUAUUGCAAGCUUAACUGGACAAAUUCAUUGAUGAAGCAAAGAGGGGGUUGGGUUCGUGGGACAAAGAUCGGCGAGUUUCUGAUUUGAUGACUGGAGAAGGGGUUGUAGCUCAUGGACAAAAGAGAAGGCAAGAUUUUGUGACUGGGUUCACGGGAUGAUGGAGAUCGGUAUCGCAUGCUUGUAGACGACGCACGCACUAGAGAUGGGACUAGCAAUCCUCCAGUUUUUGGGGAGUCUCACUAAGAACAGCUAGUAAAGCUGUUAGUCCGUGCGAGUCCGACUUAGUGUCAUUAAACUUAAUCCUGGUGCAGACUAAACAAGGGACUAUAGUCUAGUCCAGUCCAAUCUUUCCUAAUCCGAUCAAACAAACGGGCCCUAUAUUAAUUACUAAAUAUAAUCUUUUAAACUAAAGUUAAUUGAUUCGG